This 205-nucleotide unclassified non-coding RNA is filed under the name uncultured fungus. Its description in RNAcentral is "sequence contains ITS1, 5.8S rRNA gene". The record is from RNAcentral. Lineage: Eukaryota; Fungi.
UUAACUAUUAGAUAGUACUCAGACGACACUAACAUUCAGAGUUUUAGGUCCUCUGACACGCGCGAGCCAGCCGGAGCCGGUGCCCAGAGGGCGGCGUGCCAAAGCAACAAAGUGUAAUAAACAAAGGGUGGUAGGUUACCCAGGAGGCCUUGCGGCAACCUGGGUGACUACUGUAAUGAUCCUUCCGCAGGUUCACCUACGGAAA